GAUGAAGAACGUAGCGAAAUGCGAUAAGUAGUGUGAAUUGCAGAAUUCAGUGAAUCAUCGAAUCUUUGAACGCACAUUGCGCCCCCUGGUAUUCCGGGGGGCAUGCCUGUCCGAGCGUCAUUGCUGCCCUCAAGCACGGCUUGUGUGUUGGGCUCCGUCCCCCCGGGGACGGGCCCGAAAGGCAGCGGCGGCACCGAGUCCGGUCCUCGAGCGUAUGGGGCUUUGUCACCCGCUCUGUAGGCCCGGCCGGCGCCAGCCGACAACCCAUCAUCCUUUUCAGGUUGACCUCGGAUCAGGUAGGGAUACCCGCUGAACUUAAGCAUAUCAUAAGCGGAGGA
Molecule: unclassified non-coding RNA, 338 nt
Filed under: soil metagenome
Description: partial contains 5.8S ribosomal RNA, internal transcribed spacer 2, and large subunit ribosomal RNA
Rfam family: 5.8S ribosomal RNA (bases 1-120)
Source: RNAcentral